GAGGGGAUCACGCCUGGGAGGUCAGGUCAGGAGCUCCGUUUCGAAGAUGCUGAGUUUAGUGUGUCUAUUUGACAUGGUGUGAAGAGUCUGCAAUUGCAUAUUCAUUUAUCUAGUUCAGAUUUGAACCAGAGAUGUAAACUUGGACUUUGUUGGCAUAUGGAUGUUACUUAAAGCCAUGAUUGCAAAUGAGAUCCCCAAGGAAGUGAAUAGGAAUGGAGAAAAGAGCUUUGGAUUGAGCCCUUGAGCCCUCCAAUGUUAAGGAGCCUGUAAAGGAACAACCAAGAACAUGGAUGCCACGUGAAGAAGGUGUAUCACGGAGGGUGGAGUGAUUAAAUGCUGCUAAUAGGUCGCGUUAGAUGAGGCUGAGAAGUGACCUUUAGAUUUGGAGGCAGGGAGUUCAACAGCAGCCCUCAGAACAUGUUCAGGUGGGAGCAGAAGCCUGAAGACAAUUUAAGAGAGAACAUGAAGAGAUGAAUAGAAAACAGACAACUUUUUUGAGACAUCUUUUACUAGGAGGGGGGCAAAGAAUGGCAGGAGAAGUAAGGUCAAAUGAGAGUUUUGUUUUGUUUUGUUUUAAAUGAAAUACACAACAACAUGUUUGUAUGUUGAUGGAAAUGAUCCAGAAAGAAGAGAAAAAAUGACCUGUAGGAGAGAGUGUGAAGUAUGGUUGAAUGACGUCUUUGAGUCCAGUUAGCCCUCUGUAUCCACAGGUUCCACAUCCGCGGAUUCAACCAGCAGCAUGUUGAAACUAUUCAGGAAAAAACAUCCAGAAAUUUCCAACAUACAAAACCUGAAUUUGCCCCACACUGGCAACUAUUUACAUUGUAUUUACAGCUACUUAUACAGCUUUUACAUUGUAUUCAAUAUUAUAAAUAAUCUAGAGAUGAUGUAAAGUAUAUGGUAGGAUGUGCAUAUGUUAUAUGAAAAUGAUGCAUCAUUUUACAGAGGGACUUGAGCAUCCUUGGAUUUCAGUAUUCAUGGGGGUCCUGGAACCUCUCUCUCUUGGAUACUGAGGGAUGACUGUCCAUUAGAUGGAGUGGGAUGUGCUCACUGUGGGUACGGAUACUGGCAGGUGGAUAAAGGGGUGGUAAGUCUAACAAAUACUCUUCUGAACAGUUUAAUUUUCUCAGUGAUUUAGGAAGUGAGGUCACGAGGUGAAUAUGAGGCUGCUGGAUGGAGGUUCAAGGCUGAAGAAGAGAGAACUCGUGAAAUAGUCAUCGUGGGGAGUUGGACACUGAAUGAAACAGUGGGAUGCUAAGGUUGUCCAAUAAUAGAAGCCCUUUUGAGGCUUUUGAUGACUAACUAAACUGAAGUUAUACAAUUUAUGGUCAGUUAACUAAGUUAAGUACAAGGUUUUGAGAAAUUUUAUAGGUCGUGAACUGUUCUUGGCCCUGGAGGUAUCAAAUGAAUAGGAUGUGGCCCCUUCCCUCAAAGAACUCACAGUCCCACAGCAAGAGAGACUGAAAUAUGAAAUCAAUAACUCUAAUGAAUUGUGAUAAUUCUAUAAUUGAGUUAUACUCAUUGAUUUGGGAAUUACUGCCAAGUGCUGUUGCCAAAUACAGUGACACAUCAAGCUGGUGGGGUAUUUCCCAUCAGAAUCAGAAUGUGAUUCUCCCUAAAUACCCUCUUUCAGUCAAUAAGCAUUUAUUAAGACUCCAGCACUGUGCUAGGUGUUCAUGCUACAAUGGCAAAUAAGAGAACUUCUGCACUCAAAGAGCUUGCCAGCACUGCAGGGAUUUCCAAUCUUAGCCGCACAUCAGAAUCACCUCGGUGUUUUUAAAAAUCCAGAUAUCCAGACAGUGCCCCAUAUUAUAAGUCAAAUAUUUCAAGUUCCCGAGUGUUUCCAACAUGCAGUCAAGGAAGAGGACUGCUGAUCUCAGGGGAGUGACAUAUAGGAACACAGAAAAUGGAAAUAUAGGUGUGAAAAAUGCUGUAAGGUAGGGAAGAUACUAGGAUUCAGCGCCUUGGGAGGAAGAGCCACUGGGGCUGAGUAAAGAAUGAGUGAGGACCAGGGCUCUUUGGUGGGGUGAAUGGCAGACUCUGGGAGGGCUCACACCAAGGAGCACUUCCUCGAACUUCUGCUGCCAGUGUCCUUGUCCCUGUAGUGAGCCACAGCCACCCCCUGCCUCUGCAGGAGACCCUCCAACACUAGCAGGCAUUACUUACCCUUCUUAUAUUGCGCCAUUUAUUUUGAAUGACCACAUGCAUUCCUGUCUUCAAUUGUGAGUAGCAAGUUACCAAAAUUUCAGAAAUAAAUAGGAGACUUGGAAACUCAAGGAAUAAAAUAGAUUCCAGCCAGGGCUGAGUUAAGGAUUCAAACGUCAUCAGGGUCUGGGCGCUCCAGCUGGGUGUCAGGCCUGAACCUCUGAGGUGGGAGAACCGAGUUCAGGACAUUGGUCCACCAGAGACCUCCCAGCCCCAUGUAAUAUCAAUCGGUGAGAGCUCUCCCAGAGAUCUCCAUCUCAUCGCUAAGACCCAGCUCCACUCAAUGACCAGCAAGCUACAGUGCUGGACACCCUACACCAAACAACUAGCAAGACAGAAACACAACCCCACCUAUUAGCAGAGAGGCUGCCUAAAAUCAUAAUAAGUUCACAGACACCCAAAGACACACCACUGGAUGCAAUCCUGCCCACCAGAAAGACAAGAUCCUGCCUCAUCCACCAGGAUACAAUAAACAGUCCCCUCCACAAGGAGGCCUACACAACCCACUGAACCAACCUUACCCACUGGGGGCACACACCAAAAACAAUGGGAACUACAAACCUGCAGGCUGUGAAAAGGAGACCCCAAACACAGUAAGUUAAGCAAAAUGAGAAGAUAAAGAAAUACACAGCAUCUGAAGUAACAAGGUAAAAACCCACCAGACCAAACAAAUGAAGAGGAAAUAGAUAGUCAACCUGAAAAAGAAUUCAGAGUAAUGAUAGUAAAGAUGACCCAAAAUCUUGGAAAUAGAAUGAAGAAAAUACAAGAAACGUUUAACAAGGACCUAGAAGAAAUAAAGAGCAAACAGGUAAUGAUGAACAACAC
Long non-coding RNA from Phocoena sinus (vaquita), 3030 nucleotides. NCBI's taxonomy places the organism in Eukaryota, Metazoa, Chordata, Mammalia, Artiodactyla, Phocoenidae. The record is from Ensembl.